GCUAUUAUAUAAAACAUCCGACUACGUACACCUUGGAUGUCAUCUUGUAAUUAGUUUAAAUCAUAGCAUAACAUAUUUGUACUUAAAUACAUUAUAGAUUUUGUUGUUGUUGAAAGUAAUACAUUAUAGAUUAUCAGAUAUUAAUAUUGCAAAACACUACAAUUAGUAUCAAAUCCUAAUAGGACGUGUUAAUUCUUAGGCCGUAAAAGCCGCCCAUUAUCUGCGAUCCUCCUUCCUUUGAGGAACCCUGUUUGAUUCUUGGAAAUGAGUUACAAAAGAAAAUUGGACGAUCACUUAGCCAAAAUUGGACAAUGCAUGAGAUCAGACGAUCACCAUCCAAGGCUAUCGACCAUUGUUUCUUGGGAAUUAAUGUACUCAAAGUAUGGAUCAAUGAUUUCAGCAAAGUAUGGUUCAAUGUCUUCUUCUAAACAAAUCGAUCACUACUUCGAUAAUAAUUUCUUUUACUAAAAUCCAAUGUUGCUUAUAGUAGUCGUCCUGUAUGCCAUUUGUCCUCGCCGCUUUCUGUAACCGGCCUGAGACGAUCACCGGAGCUUCUCACCGACGUGAAAAGGUGGCUGCCUGAAACAGAAAAAUAUGAAGAAGAGUUAGGAGGAAGAAACGGAAGAAGAAGAACAAGGAUAUUGAAGAGCCGGCGGUGGUUGUGGACGAGCCGGCGGACGUUCCGACGGACGAGCGGCGGCAGUGGCCAAACCCUAGAUCUAGUCAAAGUGUUGAGAUGGAAGUUACUGACAAGAAUAAAUUAAAGAAGACCUUAUACUAAGGAGAAGUGGUCG
Molecule: long non-coding RNA, 794 nt
Filed under: Zostera marina
Lineage: Eukaryota; Viridiplantae; Streptophyta; Magnoliopsida; Alismatales; Zosteraceae
Description: long non-coding RNA (ZMAR_LNC002295)
Source: RNAcentral